UGCCCAGAAAUUCCUAUCCCUACCUCCUCGUGGUACUGACCUGGGUACGAGUAACCUUAGGGAAGAUCGGAAAACCAACCCCGAUGGGUACUUUGUUUGUAUGCUGACAGGGAAGG
RNAcentral lists this ribozyme (116 nucleotides) under Aedes aegypti (yellow fever mosquito). Its description in RNAcentral is "drz-agam-1 ribozyme". It matches the Rfam family "drz-agam-1 ribozyme". The record is from Rfam by way of RNAcentral. Lineage: Eukaryota; Metazoa; Arthropoda; Insecta; Diptera; Culicidae.